RNAcentral lists this ribosomal RNA (496 nucleotides) under uncultured bacterium. Its description in RNAcentral is "partial 16S ribosomal RNA". It matches the Rfam family "Bacterial small subunit ribosomal RNA", at positions 28 to 506 of the family's 1533-position model. The record is from RNAcentral.
GAUGAACGCUGGCGGCGUGCCUAAUACAUGUAAGUCGAGCGAACAGACGAGGAGCUUGCUCCUCUGACGUUAGCGGCGGACGGGUGAGUAACACGUGGAUAACCUACCUAUAAGACUGGGAUAACUUCGGGAAACCGGAGCUAAUACCGGAUAAUAUAUUGAACCGCAUGGUUCAAUAGUGAAAGACGGUCUUGCUGUCACUUAUAGAUGGAUCCGCGCUGCAUUAGCUAGUUGGUAAGGUAACGGCUUACCAAGGCAACGAUGCGUAGCCGACCUGAGAGGUUAAUCGCCAACACGGAAACUGAGACACGGCCCAAACCCCUAGGGGAGGCAGCAUAAGGAAAUCUUCCGCAUGGGGCGAAAGCUGAACGGAGAAACGCGGCGGGAGUGAGGAGGGCCUUCGGAUCGUAAACCCCUGUAAUUGGGAAAGAACAAAGUUGUAGGUAACGAGGAACGUCUUAACGGUACCAAAGCAGAAAGCCACGGCUAACUACGU